UGGGAACGAGAAGUCACUCGUGGAGGCGUC
RNAcentral lists this non-coding RNA (30 nucleotides) under Homo sapiens (human). The record is from RNAcentral. Lineage: Eukaryota; Metazoa; Chordata; Mammalia; Primates; Hominidae.